CAAACAUUUUUUUUGUGUUAUUUGGACAGGACCAUUAAGGGCAUAUAAAGUUGGAUCGUUUAUUAGAUUUUUCCGGGAUGCAACAUUUAGCUGCCGGUUGGAUGUGGUGGGAAGAUAAGGGCUGACAGCAUCGGGGCGAGUGACCGUUGAGCCCACAUCUUCACAGAGAUCUGCCUCCAUUGUUCAUCCCAGAUUAAGCUGCACUCGACGGGCGGACCGCAGGAACAGAGCGCACGCCUCCGGUACUUCACAGCACAAGACUCACAAAACAGCACGAGAAGAACCGUAUGAUGAUUGGCGGGACCCUCUGGCUGUCGCGCUCACUGGCCAACUGGUUUGGGGUUUUCCUCGACUGCAGCUGAACAUGAGAGAGGGACAUGAGGGAAACUGAGCGGGGAGGCGACAGGGACUCGGCGUGCUGCCCGCAAUUCGCGCCGGUGUUGCCUUUGGGAUCCUGGACCCAUCCAUGCACUUGCCACGUCCUUGAGCUUUCUUCUCCUCCUGCAAGACUGACCAAGUCAACACACACACAUCUACCAUCAGCUGACUACGGGUAUCAAAACUCAAAACCUGUGGGAAAAAAACGCUACAUGACAGCAGAGCCAUUAAUGAGACAGUCCAG
Gasterosteus aculeatus aculeatus (three-spined stickleback) is the source of this 622-nucleotide long non-coding RNA. The record is from Ensembl. NCBI's taxonomy places the organism in Eukaryota, Metazoa, Chordata, Actinopteri, Perciformes, Gasterosteidae.